This 497-nucleotide ribosomal RNA is filed under the name uncultured bacterium. RNAcentral's name for it is "partial 16S ribosomal RNA". It matches the Rfam family "Bacterial small subunit ribosomal RNA", at positions 28 to 507 of the family's 1533-position model. The record is from RNAcentral.
GAUGAACGCUGGCGGCGUGCCUAAUACAUGCAGGUCGAGCGAACGGACGAGAAGCUUGCUUCUCUGAUGUUAGCGGCGGACGGGUGAGUAACACGUGGAUAACCUACCUAUAAGACUGGGAUAACUUCGGGAAACCGGAGCUAAUACCGGAUAAUAUUUUGAACCGCAUGGUUCAAAAGUGAAAGACGGUCUUGCUGUCACUUAUAGAUGGAUCCGCGCUGCAUUAGCUAGUUGGUAAGGUAACGGCUUACCAAGGCAACGAUGCAUAGCCGACCUGAGAGGGUGAUCGGCCACACUGGAACUGAGACACGGUCCAGACUCCUACGGGAGGCAGCAGUAGGGAAUCUUCCGCAAUGGGCGAAAGCCUGAUGGAGCAACGCCGCGUGAGUGAUGAAGGUCUUCGGAUCGUAAAACUCUGUUAUUAGGGAAGAACAUAUGUGUAAGUAACUGUGCACAUCUUGACGGUACCUAAUCAGAAAGCCACGGCUAACUACGUG